GUGCUCGCUUCGGCAGCACAUACUGGAACGAUAACAGAGAAGAUUAGCAUGGCCCCUGCGCCAGGAUGAUACGCAAAUUCGUGAAGCGUUCCGUAUUUUA
Molecule: small nuclear RNA, 100 nt
Filed under: Balaenoptera musculus (blue whale)
Lineage: Eukaryota; Metazoa; Chordata; Mammalia; Artiodactyla; Balaenopteridae
Source: RNAcentral